Perognathus longimembris pacificus (Pacific pocket mouse) is the source of this 149-nucleotide small nucleolar RNA. NCBI's taxonomy places the organism in Eukaryota, Metazoa, Chordata, Mammalia, Rodentia, Heteromyidae. The record is from RefSeq and is a predicted model, not a curated record.
GCCGCACACUAUUAAAGCCCGGGCGGAGGCCAGUGCCGGCCGGUGAGCCCCUGGGUGUCGGAAGUGUGCCACAGCAAAGGCAGGCCUCUCGCUGACCCCUCGAGAGCUCGGCUCUGUGACUGGCGGUGAUAGUGUUUCCUGCCACAUAG